ACUUCCGAGGCGAGAGAUCUCGUUAAACUCGUCGGGAAUAUCUUGGAAAAAAUCAGCAGCUCUAUUCGUAAUAUUUAUUUCGUUUGAGGGAAUAUGCUCGUGUGUUUGCUCGUGAAAAAUAAACGGGAAUGGACGGGCACGACGGUGCACGCGAAGCGCGUGUGAAAGUUCACAACGACCCUGACAGUUGAUCGGUGUUUUUUUGUGCUGGCGGUUAGUCGAAACGAGUCUCGGAGGAAACGUGCGUUCGCGUUGAAAUACGUGUUAACCAGAAAAAAUUGGCAAGUGGACGGACACGAGUGGUGUUUCAUUUCAUAAACGAUAAUAAUAACAAUGAUAAUAAUAAUACUGAAGAAAGGAUAACAACACGAACGCGGGAUUCGUUCGGGGUUCACUUUCCUUCUCUCGCGGACGCGAGCUUCUUUGUUUCGCCGCGCAAGACGGUGGUAGCGCUCGCGUCGGGCGAGUCGUAAAUCUAGCCCUAAGCGUGCGGGAAAAACCGCGCCUCGUGGUUCGACACUUGACAGUCGACGAAAAACAGGAGAUAAAUAAAACGGCAACGCUUCUCGGUGCGCCCGAAUUUUCUAUUUGUUUUAUCGUUCGGACGCGAGUUUCGCGGCUCUGGGUGACCGUUUGGCCGUUAAGCAAGUAUUUUUCAACGAUCCGAAAGCCGAAAGUGGACUCGAUGCCGUGCAGAAAAAAACGUAUCGUCGCUUCGAGGAUCACGAUUGUCGUCGGAUGUUCGGAAAUGAGGAGCGUGGCAAACAAAAUUUAGAGAAAACCUCCCCCAUCAAACUCGCAGCAAUACGAAAGUACAAUCAAACAUUUUUCGACAAUUCGUACAAGAGGAACCAAGCGUGGAUAAAAGCGGGAGAAAAAAUGCGGCUCCGUCGCAACCACGAGAUAUCGAUUCCGAGCAGUGGCGAGGCGUCGAGACACGCGGUCGUUUAUGCCUCAACGGCUAAUCGACGAACCUCGAUAUUUACCAGUUACAAAAACGCUUUCGUCGAUCAUGACGACGAAAUAGCUCUUAAAAUCGUUACCACAGAAAUAAACGUAAUCUCGAAUUGAUAAGAAAAAAAGUAAAUUAAAAAUCAAGCAUCCAAAUAAAAACAAGCGAACGCGAGUAACUUAGCAACAUUCUGAGAAUGUUGCUCCUCGAUAAACUAUGUAAAACAACCAAAUUUUCGGACAAGAAUAGCUAAGAAACCAAAAAGUCUUAUCUCCCUCCCAACAGCAGUGUGAAACCAUCGCGAGAUAGUAAGAAAAAAAGUUGCUGCAAGCGUACCGACGCAAGUGAGAAGUGAACGUUGCCAAAAAACAACCAUAACUAUUUUAUUCAACAAUAGAACGAAAAAAAAAAAAAAAAAAAAAGAAGCGCGCGAGCACCUCGAAAGAGAGGGAUCGGCGUGAAUGAACGAGAAAAAAAAGCAGAAAAUCGAUCGCCUGAAAGGCCACCAAGUGCCACAACCCGUUGAGAAUAUGAUCGUGAAAUUUAAUGCAGCAGUUCCAACACUCAACGAACGAAGAAUAAAAACAAAAUGGCGUCCAGUUAAAAUAGCCUAAAAAUCGUUUGAAAAAUAGAUCGAACGUCGUUCAAAACAGACGCACGAUUCUUAUCUGCCACGAGAGUCAAAUAAUUUUCAUAUUUAAAUAUAACAGAAGGAAAAGGAGAGCGAGAUUAAUUGGUGAGAGGAAAAAUAUAUUCAGCAUGGUCUCGACGUACAGCGUAGCGAAAGAGGGCGCCGUUGGUGUUGCAGUUGGAGUGGGCGCUAUGCAUCUUUUGCCACAUUGUGCCGCCCCUCACCAUUUAUCGCCCCAUCCACAAAACCCUAAUCACAAUCACGUCCACCCAAACAAUCAUCAGCCACCGCCACCGUUGAGCCCUCACGGACAUUUGACUCAAUUGAAUCAUGCUCAGCAUCAUCUUACCAUCAAUAUUACGCAUCAUCAACAACAGCAGCAGCAGCAGCAGCAGCAACAACAGCAACAACAACAACAUCAACAGCAGCAGCAGCAACAGCAGCAACAACAUCAACACCAACAUCAGCAAGCUCAAGCAAGGCAACAACAACAGAAUGAACAUCAAGCAGCAGCUCAACAACAACAACAGCAACAACAACAACAACAACAACAACAACCGCAGCAACAACAAGCCCCACCCCCACAAUAUCGCAUCGUUACGACUAACGCCAAACGUGAGACGGUCAACGGCCGACGUAAUCUUCCUGCCGGCAUGACACACUCGUUCCUGGACUUCCGGUGGACCCGUCAUGGAAAUUCAUUUUUUUUCCGUUCACCCGGAUCGGAGUUUCAUGUACCUGGACAAAAUUACGUUGCCCAACCAGGUGGGCAUGUGGGUGGAGGAGGGGGUGGUGUAGGAGUACCAGGAGGUAGAGGGCCGCCGUCCCUCGGAGGAAUACAAACUUUGGGUCAGUCGACGCCUGGUAUACAGCCGGGCGGUCCACAGAGCGGACAACAACAACCUCCGCAGGCACAAACACCAGGUGUGCAACAACAACAGCCACAAGGACCUGCGCCUACGACUACACCUCCUGUUCACACACCUUCGCCUCAAGAAAUGGGGAAACAGGUUCAUUUGCAGGCUCCGUCGCAGCACCAACAGGUCUACAUGUCUAAUCCAACGAGACCGGUCACCCAGGGUUAUUUCCAGCCCGCACCGAGGUCACAACCUUCACGAAAUCUCGGGCACAGAAAUAAUCAGGGUGGUGCAGGUACGCAGGUAGUUGGAAUGCCGGGUGGUGGUGGUGGUGGUCAACCCACCGCGUUGUAUCAACAUCAAGGUAUAGCGGUGCCGCAGGGUACGCCGAUGUACGAUAUUCGUACCUUGCAACAAGUGUCAAAUCUUCAUCCGACAGGGCAUCAACAACAAAUGUACCCUCCUCCCAGCAUCCUGUCACUGUUUCCUGCUGCACAGCAGAGACACCAGGCACAUCAGGGACAACCUUUUUAUCAGUCUUACACACCCCACGCUAUCGUCCAGACGCCAAAUAUGUAUCCAUAUGCGCCAGGACAAGGAAAUCCAAAUCCAUAUUUUUACCAACAACCUCAACCUGCAACACCGCUAAAUAUUAGUAGAGCCAGUGCUAAUGCAGUUAGCGGGGGAGCUCAACACGUAGGAGGACCGCUGGCCGGUGCCCAAGGAGCCGGUGGUGUACCUCAAGGUGCUCUUCAGCAACCUACACAGCCGCCACAGCCUAUACCCUCGAUGGCAAUACCUCUCGCUCCAACCGAAGUAUACACCGGUCACAAUGGUGGUACGUCGAGUGCGAACCUUAGCUCAUCGAGAUUAUCGACUGGUCCGAGAUCCCACGCUAUCAUGGAUAUCCGCGAUCCAAACACCGGUGACAACAUAGCCGCUGAUAUAUACGGCAAUGCAUCGAGUGUAAGUGGUGCAUCCAGUAAUCGUGAGACUCCUCAACCGCAGAAUCCAGAAUUGGUAGCGGAAUUUGCGGCUAGAGUCGCGAAAGCGGCUAGCGAAGAAUCGGAGACGAGCUUCGCAUCAUCGUCGUUAGGACCGUCAACUUCGACGUCGUCGACGACGAUAGCGUCGGCAACGGCGACGUCAGCAGCUCCAGUGGCGGCGACAGCGACGAGUGCGCCGGUACCUCCGUCGGGUGUGACGAACGUUGUUACGGAGAACGUACCGUCAGCGACGCAAAUUACCCAAGUAGCAAGUACAACGAGUAUGAAAAUAACGUCGAAUCCCAGUAAGGAAUCACCGAUCCAGUGCAACAGCGGUACAUCGACGACGACGACGACGGCGAUAAUGACGCCUGCAACAACGCAGUCUCAAAAUUCGACGAUCUCGGCGAGCCCGCUGCAACAACAAAUUUCGGAGGGCUGCACGCUCCCGAAAACAGAUUCGAAACCUUUGCAACUUCCCGCUCAAGAAUUUUGGCCCCGUGGCGAGGCGAAACAGUCGAAUGCCGGGCAACAACAGCAACCAAUUGCCGCUGUCAUUGACGAACAAAAGCUCAAUGUCGCAUCAACCAAUCCAAUUGUUCUUGCGAACAAAGAGCUUGUCUCGUCUCCGCAAAUCGAUCCUGUCGCUCCUGUGGCUUCGACAAUUGCACAGUCGAGCAUAGAACUUAAAGAGCCCGCUAAAAGCGCUUCUAAGCCUCCGACCGCGGCAUCAAUCGUCUCGAACACAUCGAGCGCUACACCGAACAUUGCCACUAAUGUUACCGACGUACCGUUACACUCCUCGAACACUGCCACUCAAGUUUCACUUGCUUCCGCAAAUCCUAACAUCCCAUCGGCUCCUCCCUCUGCCCCCGCGGCAGCAACACCUAACGCUGCUCCUGUCUCUGUACAACCCGCGCAAGGAGGCUCGAGCUUUCUUGGACCAAUUCCGAGUCGUCCACCGCGUUUCCCUUUCCCCGGUCCUUCCAUAGACUCCUCAUCUUUUCCCACUCUUGUUAGUCCCAACACGUACUCACCACCACGACGAAAAAACCACAAUCAACAACAAGCCGGCCAAACCAAUGCCACCGCUACCGCCCCAACUUCCGGUGCUGAACUUCCACCCUCUGGUAAAGAACCUCAGAAAGAAAGAAAAAUUAGCGAUCGUAGCAGCUCUGCUACCUCCAGAGGUACCACACCGACACCUUCUCACAAUCAGGCCGAACAGCAUCAACGAUCCAACGGCGAAACUGCUCUCGAUAAGACUGACGUCGCUACCGAUAAUAAGGCUGAUCAUCAUCAAAAAACUGCUGAUGGUAAAGCCAUGCAGAAGCAGAAGAAUAAAAACAAGUCGAAACACAAGGAUCUUAAUCGGAAAGGAGCGGAGAAAGAGGGAACGGACAUGGACGCCUUCGUGAAUCCGGCGGCAGGUUCAAAGCCGGAAGGAAAGACGCAACAAGACAACAGAAGUCAGGCUCAAGCUGUCCCGGCGCAAUUGUCGAGCAAAGAUGAGAAUGUUAUUGUGGAUUCAUGUAACGUUCGUGAGAGUCCGAAAAUCGUGAAAGAUCGCGAAAACAAUGAAACCAAGAUCGAGACGAGUGCCGAGAUCGAUAUUGGGAAAGGGCAGAAAACGAAAAACGUCACGAAGCUCGAGGCAACUAGGGAAAAUGUUGGUGCUACGCCAUCAUCGCUCGUUACUGCACAAGUGUUAAACACCGAUGAACAACAGGAAUCAACGGCACAAAAUAAUAAGGAAACGCUCGUUAAAGAAACGACGCCGACGAUCGAGGAGAGCGAUAAUACGACUCGGGGAAUAUGCGAUUUGCCGACAAAGACGAAUGACAUCGUUGAUCAUACCAAGGUCCCUGUCAAAGACGAGAUCGACGUUGAAACGAUAGUCGCACAGAAAAAUGAGGAAAAUGCUAAAGUUUCGGCUCUGCAUGCAACCUCCAAUGAGACCACUGAAUCUGAAACUCCUGUUAUCGAGAAACAGGACGAGGACGAAGUCCCGAGUGAAAAUGAUGUUGUUAGUACCGCACCUAAAGCUCCACCUCGAUUGAAAUAUCCAUACGAUGAUAAUCAAUGGAGUCCGAUAAACGUCACUGGAAAGCGAGAAUAUGGACGUGAAUUUCUUAUGAGACUGCAAAACGAUCCGAAAAGUCGGGUGCGACCGAGUAAUCUACCGGAAAUGGAUGUUGUACUCAAAGAGUGCAUAAAGAGCCGGAGUACCGAAUUCAGGCCGUUCAAGGACUCGAACGCGGGCCGCCACGACUCGUUGCUGCCUAUAUUCGCCAAGACGGGUGGUUACAACGCCAAACCGCCAGUGUUAACGAAAAAGAGUUAUCAAGGCAAGUCUAAACCGACGAAACCCAAUGUGAUUCACUUGUCGUUAUCGCUUCGCGAAGACGUUAAACUUCGCGAAACGGAAAACGCGUGGCGACCGGCACGCCUCAAGCCCCAAGCUCUCGAGGAGGAUGCCAAAACAAUAGCACUUUAUAAAAAAGUACGGAGCGUAUUGAACAAACUGACACCACAGAAAUUCGAUACUCUUGUGUCGCAAGUCAGGGCAUUAGAAAUCGAUACGCAACAAAAGUUACAAGGUGUCAUUGAUUUGGUCUUCGAAAAGGCUGUUGAUGAACCGAACUUCUCCGUCGCGUACGCACUUAUGUGCAGUGAACUUCGUCAAAUGACUGUUGUUUCUGACGGGAAAAAAUCUGAGCCGAGCGACGAUAGUCAGCCCAGCGAGCAGCCGGCUCAGCAGCAAGCGGCGGGAGAAGUCAAUUUCCGUAAAUUAAUCGUAGAACGUUGUCAAAAACAAUUCCAGAAAAACAAUGAUGACGAACAUGCGAGAAUAAGUAAAUUGAAGGAAAUUGAGGAAUGUACAGACCCGGAGAAAAAGAAAGAUCUCCAGACGACUCUCGAAGAGUAUGAUCGUCGACUUCGUGUCCGAUCAGUUGGCAACAUUAGAUUUAUCGGUGAACUUUUUAAGAAAGAAAUGCUUACGAUAAAGAUAAUGCAUUUCUGCAUAAAUCAUUUGUUGUCGAGUCCCGACGAAGAGAAUCUCGAAUGUUUGUGUAAAUUAUUGACGACAAUCGGUAAAGCUCUCGCGGAGCGACACAUCGCAGUGGGUAAUCCCGAAGCCCUUGAUCCGUAUUUCACUAAACUGUCGAAUUUCGUCGGAAAGAAGGGCAUACAACGAAAAAUAAGCUCGAGAAUACGUUUCAUGAUACAAGACGUGAUGGAUUUGAAAACCAAUAAUUGGAUACCGAGACGAGACGAGGCAAAACCCAAGACCAUGGAUCAAAUCGAGAAGGAGGCCGAGUGCGAACGUUCGGAAAUACAAUUAAACAAUACACCAAUGAACACGCCUAGGAAAGACGAUCGAAAUAGCGAUAGAAGACGAAAUCGUGGUGGAGGUGGAAUGGAAGAAGGUGGAUGGAGUCAACCUGUUGGCAAAACCAGACAACAGCCUUAUUCUGUAGAAGCAGCUAAAUUGAGUACGAAAGCUGUUGCGCCAAACGAGCUGCGACUAGGAAAUAGGAAUGCGUAUGCAUGGGGCGCACAAUCGGCAGCUGCGGUCAAAACGUUAACGCCCAAUAAAUAUGCGCUCCUUGAUAGCAGCAUGCCUGGUGAGAUGGACAAACGAACACCCCUGCAAGUUUCUGGGUCUAGAUCUACUGGACCCAGAGACUACGGUCGACCUGAUUACAAAUCUGGAUGGGAAAACAAAGGAUCGCGCUUGGGCAGUCAACACAUGAACAGUAGUUCGAGCGGACGAGACACACUCAUGGAGAGUGGACGAAGUCAGAGCAUAUCGAUGCCACCGCCAUCCAUGAAAAUGAAACCACAGACUACCUCGAUCGUCACUACAAGCAGCAGCGGUAGCGGCUUCAGUAGUAGUCGUAGUAAUAAACCUCGCAAAACUGAGGCGGAACUAGUCCGCGUCGUCAAAUCAAUUACCGAUGGUGCUGUUUGCGAGCCCAACAUCGAUGUUUUCAUCAAAACGACUUUGGAACAAUUUCAAGAUCUCUUUGACAGUUCGACAACCGAGCUGUUUGUUCGUGAAUCCAUCAAUGGAGUACUUGAGAGAACUGCCGCUGUGCGUCAACAUUUCUCUGAAUUAUUUGCUCACAUGGUCAAUCACAAUAUUCUCCCACUUUCGCUCAUCCAGACUGAAUUUGAAAAAGUUCUGGAAGUUGCGGACGACCUAGUCAUUGAUAUACCUAAAAUCUGGACUUACUUUGCCGAGCUACUGUCGAGUAUGGUAGUUUCGAAUGCCCAUCCCCUCGCCGAAAUGAAGACCACCGCAGCAAUUUUAAAAAUUACUGGCAAAGGUGGAAAAUUGAUGGGUGAAUUGCUCGCUAAACUUGCGAGAGAUCAAGGACCCAAAUGGACGGCGGAAAAAUGGGACCAAAGUGGACUCCAAUGGAGCGAUAUUACCGAUACGACGUUAGAGAACAUCGACGAUAUCAUAAAACAAUACAAAUUGGAGUUCCUUAACGGCGAGUGCAAAAGCUCGGACGUAACUUCUUCCGGUAGUCAAUUAACGAAUGAGCAGAUCCACGAUCACCUCGUGAAGCUUAUGCGUGAUAGCGAUUUCGACAAUAUUUGCAGCUGGAUACUGGCGAACGUUGGCAACAGAGUAACGCAACCGCAUUUUAUCAGAACCCUGAUGACGGCAAUUCUUACCGUUACUGUUGAGGAACGUCAUAAAGUAUGGAAGCUCAAUGAGAACACUUUCAAAAAUCUUCAAACUCUUAUAAAGCGUUUUAUCGAUACCGAUGCUGAUUUGGAAUUGCAAUGUCUCUUCGCUAUCCAGGCAUAUGUUCACAAAUUGGAGCAUCCACCGGGUUUGUUGUUCAAUAUAUUGACGUCGUUACAACAAAACGAUGUACUUUCGGACGAUGCAUUCCUCACGUGGGAAUCGGCCACGGGUGAGUUCCCUGGUCACGCUGUCGCGAUAAAAGGAUUAACGUCAUUUUUCACUGGAUUGCGAGAACCCGACAGUGACGAUGCGUGAGGUACGGACUAUUGGAGCCGUUCGAUGUGUGUAUAAUCGAUAAAGUUGGAUCGUCGCGAGGGACGAAAGCGAAACACUAUACUCGGCCAUUUAGCAAGGAAGAGAGAAAAAAAAAACAAACAAACAAAAGCGCAACGGUCAGCAACGAGGAGGGUGGCUGCUGGGGAAACCGGAAGUGAGAUAAAUCAUCGACUGAGUAACUAAGAUCUUCGUUUACUUAUUUCUUUCAUUUUGUUUUUCACGCGAAAUUAUUGCUCGUUGUUAAAAAACGUUUAUUUUCACACCGGCAAAUACGCUUUUCUACUACGAAAGACCGCGUGAUAUUUUACAAUAAAAACAAUUGAAUGAAUAAUGAAGAAAAAAAAAACUAAAUACGGUGAUAAUUAGUGCGUGCGACGCCAUUGUAGAAUUUUCGCCUCGUGGCGAUUCAAAUCUGUGGUGCAAACGCGUCAAGAUCCAACGACAAGAUCGAAAAUCGUUCGUUCGGUCCACGUGAAAAAAAUAAAUGAAUUUCAAUAAAAAAUGAUGAUCCUGUCCUCGCGAGACAGCGAUCGGGGACGAGAUGUGAUCUCGAGAUUUUUCUCGAACGACGAGAGCACAUACCACCUUUUUCAUGGAAUACACAUAAUACUCGAGUGUAUUCCUGUGCGUUGUGUUUCAAGUUUGAAACGAGACGUGAACGCGCCGUUAUGCGAACACUCUCCAGCCCCUUCGAUGAGGUGAAAAAUUAAAAAAAUGAAAAAAAAAAAUGAAUAAACAAUGCGAUAGAUAAUUAUACAACUAGGAUUAUUUAUAUGUGGGUAAAGACAUUGUUAAAAGUAAAGAAGAAAUGAAAAUUGUGGAUAAAGGAGAUAACGAUUUAAACAAAAAAGUUAUAACUGUACAUAUUAAAUAAUAGCGGUGUAGCGCCAGACGGAUGAGAAAAAUGAUGAGGAGAAAAAAAAGUAAGAAUAAGGUUGAUAAUACAAGAAAAAAAAACAAAAAAAAUACGAUUCGUGAGCGCGGCGGGGGUUGAUGAAAAAAAAAUGAAAAACGCGAGCCUCGUGAAUGAACGAAAAUUAAUGUUUCAUCUCUUUUAUUUUCUUUGUUAAAAAAAAAACAACAACAACAACAUUAAUAUUCAAUUAAAUUAUAUAAUUUUUUUCGUUCGCGGGUUAUGUAAAAUCACGGAUGCCGCUUCGUUUCGCAGCUCUGUCGAUUACAGGCAUGUAAUAUACAUAUACAUAUUCGCAAAACCCCCCAUGUGUAUAUGUAUAUCGAUGGUAUAAAUAUAUAUAAUAUAAAUAAAGGUAAUGUUAAGAACUAAA
This 9753-nucleotide unclassified non-coding RNA is filed under the name Venturia canescens. RNAcentral describes it as "eukaryotic translation initiation factor 4 gamma 3- like, transcript variant X5". Lineage: Eukaryota; Metazoa; Arthropoda; Insecta; Hymenoptera; Ichneumonidae. The record is from RNAcentral.